This 460-nucleotide ribosomal RNA is filed under the name uncultured bacterium. RNAcentral describes it as "partial 16S ribosomal RNA". It matches the Rfam family "Bacterial small subunit ribosomal RNA", at positions 338 to 795 of the family's 1533-position model. The record is from RNAcentral.
CCUACGGGUGGCAGCAGUGAGGAAUAUUGGUCAAUGGGCGAGAGCCUGAACCAGCCAAGUCGCGUGAAGGAUGACUGCCCUACGGGUUGUAAACUUCUUUUAUAAAGGAAUAAAGUGAGGCACGUGUGCCUUUUUGUAUGUACUUUAUGAAUAAGGAUCGGCUAACUCCGUGCCAGCAGCCGCGGUAAUACGGAGGAUGCGAGCGUUAUCCGGAUUUAUUGGGUUUAAAGGGAGCGUAGAUGGGUUGUUAAGUCAGUUGUGAAAGUUUGCGGCUCAACCGUAAAAUUGCAAUUGAUACUGGCAGACUUGAGUACAGUUGAGGUAGGCGGAAUUCGUGGUGUAGCGGUGAAAUGCUUAGAUAUCACGAAGAACACCGAUUGCGAAGGCAGCUUACUAGACUGCCACUGACAUUGAUGCUCGAAAGUGUGGGUAUCAAACAGGAUUAGAUACCCCAGUAGUC